AGAGUUUGAUCAUGGCUCAGGAUGAACGCUAGCUACAGGCUUAACACAUGCAAGUCGAACGGAAUUUACAUGAAGCCUAGCGAUUGUAAAUUUAGUGGCGGACGGGUGAGUAACGCGUGGGUAACCUGCCUUGUACUGGGGGACAACAGUUGGAAACGACUGCUAAUACCGCAUAAGCGCACAGCUUCGCAUGAAGCAGUGUGAAAAACUCCGGUGGUACAAGAUGGACCCGCGUCUGAUUAGCUGGUUGGUGAGGUAACGGCCCACCAAGGCGACGAUCAGUAGCCGGCCUGAGAGGGUGAACGGCCACAUUGGGACUGAGACACGGCCCAAACUCCAACGGGAGGCAGCA
This 352-nucleotide ribosomal RNA is filed under the name uncultured bacterium. RNAcentral's name for it is "bacterial SSU rRNA". It matches the Rfam family "Bacterial small subunit ribosomal RNA", at positions 8 to 353 of the family's 1533-position model. The record is from RNAcentral.